AAACUGAACUCUUUCCUUUAGUCAGCAUUAUGGUUUUAAACCCUAAACUGAACUUUUUCCAUUCAGUCAGCAUUAGGGUUUUAAACCCUAAACUGAAAUCUUUCCUUUAGUCAACAUUAUUGUUUUAAACCCUAAACUGAACUUUUUCCAUUCAGUCAGUAUUAGGGUUUUAAACCCUAAACUUAACUCUUUCCUUUAGUCAGCAUUAGGGUUUUAAACUGUAAACUGAACUUUUUCCAUUCAGUCAGCAUUAAGGUUUUAAACCCUAAACUGAAAUCUUUCCUUUAGUAAGCAUUAGGGUUUUAAACCCUAAACUGAACUUUUUCCAUUCAGUCAGUAUUAGGGUUUUAAACCGUAAACUGAACUUUUUCCCUUUAGUCAGCAUUAGGGUUUUAAACCCUAAACUAAACUCUUUCCUUUAGUCAGCAUUAUGGUUUUAAACCCUAAACUGAACUUUUUUCCAUUCAGUCAGCAUUAGGGUUUUAAACCCUAAACUGAACUCUUUCCUUUAGUCAGCAUUAGGGUUUUAAACCCUAAACUGAACUCUUCCAUUUAGUCAGCAUUAGGGUUUUAAACCCUAAACUGAACUAUUUCCAUUCAGUCAGCAUUAGGGUUUUAAACCCUAAACUGAACUCUUUCCUUUAGUCAGUAUUAGGGUUUUAAACCCUGAACUGAACUCUUUCCAUUCAGUCAGCAUUAGGGUUUUAAACCCUAAACUGAACUUUUUCCAUGUAGUCAGCAUUAGGGUUUUAAACCCUAAACUGAACUUUUUCCAUUCAGUCAGCAUUAGGGUUUUAAACCCUAAACUGAACUUUUUCCCUUCAGUCAGCAUUAGGGUUUUAAACCCUAAACUGAAUUCUU
This 861-nucleotide long non-coding RNA is filed under the name Nicotiana tabacum (common tobacco). RNAcentral describes it as "long non-coding RNA (NTAB_LNC009115)". The record is from RNAcentral. Lineage: Eukaryota; Viridiplantae; Streptophyta; Magnoliopsida; Solanales; Solanaceae.